ACUCAAAUGAAUAGACGGGGGCCCGCACAAGCGGCGGAGCAUGCGGCUUAAUUCGACGCAACGCGAAGAACCUUACCAAGGCUUGACAUAUAGGGAAAUCUCACAGAGAUGUGAGGUCCGCAAGGGCCCUAUACAGGUGGUGCAUGGUUGUCGUCAGCUCGUGUCGUGAGAUGUUGGGUUAAGUCCCGCAACGAGCGCAACCCUCGUUCAAUGUUGCCAGCACGUAAUGGUGGGGACUCAUUGGAGACUGCCGGGGUCAACUCGGAGGAAGGUGGGGAUGACGUCAAAUCAUCAUGCCCCUUAUGUCUUGGGCUGCACGCAUGCUACAAUGGCAGAUACAAAGGGCUGCGAUACCGUAAGGUGGAGCGAAUCCCAAAAAGUCUGUCUCAGUUCGGAUUGGGGUCUGCAACUCGACCCCAUGAAGUCGGAGUCGCUAGUAAUCGCAGAUCAGCAACGCUGCGGUGAAUACGUUCCCGGGCCUUGUACACACCGCCCGU
Molecule: ribosomal RNA, 497 nt
Filed under: uncultured bacterium
Lineage: Bacteria
Description: partial 16S ribosomal RNA
Rfam family: Bacterial small subunit ribosomal RNA
Source: RNAcentral